GACGAACGCUGGCGGCGUGCUUAACACAUGCAAGUCGAGCGGUAAGGCCCUUUCGGGGGUACGACGAGCGGCGAACGGGUGAGUAACACGUGGGUGACCUGCCCUUAGCUCUGGGAUAAGCCUGGGAAACUGGGUCUAAUACCGGAUAUGACUCCAUGACGCAUGUUGUGGGGUGGAAAGCCUUGUGCGGCUAGGGAUGGGCCCGCGGCCUAUCAGCUUGUUGGUGGGGUGAUGGCCUACCAAGGCGACGACGGGUAGCCGGCCUGAGAGGGCGACCGGCCACACUGGGACUGAGACACGGCCCAGACUCCUACGGGAGGCAGCAGUGGGGAAGUCUUGCGCAAUGGGCGAAAGCCUGACGCAGCGACGCCGCGUGAGGGAUGACGGCCUC
This 391-nucleotide ribosomal RNA is filed under the name uncultured bacterium. RNAcentral's name for it is "bacterial SSU rRNA". It matches the Rfam family "Bacterial small subunit ribosomal RNA", at positions 28 to 418 of the family's 1533-position model. The record is from RNAcentral.